UAUUUUGACUAUACGAAGGUAUUGAAAUAAGAUUUUAAAUGAGUGCUAAGAGAAUGAUUAAACAAUUAAAAGCUUUCUUUAAUUGAAUAAUUGAAUUUAAUUUUUUAGUGCAAAAGCAAAAAUAAAAAUUAGGGACAAGAAGACCCUAUGAAUUUUUUAUUAAAUUUUAUAAAACUUUAUAUAAAAUUUAAUUUAAUUGGGGUGAUGGAAAAAGAAUAAAUAUCUUUUUUUUUAAAAAAAAUUGGUUCCGUUUUUAGCGAUUAAAUGAAAAAAAUACUCUAGGGAUAA
This 288-nucleotide ribosomal RNA is filed under the name Ixodes ricinus (castor bean tick). Its description in RNAcentral is "partial 16S ribosomal RNA". The record is from RNAcentral. Lineage: Eukaryota; Metazoa; Arthropoda; Arachnida; Ixodida; Ixodidae.